Long non-coding RNA from Melitaea cinxia (Glanville fritillary), 156 nucleotides. RefSeq lists it as uncharacterized. The record is from RefSeq and is a predicted model, not a curated record. Lineage: Eukaryota; Metazoa; Arthropoda; Insecta; Lepidoptera; Nymphalidae. The transcript has 3 exons.
UUAUUUUGGAUAUGAUCACGUGAUAACCUACCGGGAACGAGCAGUGAACCUUUAUUUCCUCUACGCAUUCUGUAAAAACGUGUAAUCUUACGAUGCAUAUUUGAAUGUUGUUGUUAUCAUGUUAAUAACCAUGCUAUAUAAGCUAGCUUCACACUA